UAAGGGAUGUUGGUCAAUGGGCGUAAGCCUGAACCAGCAACGCCGCGUGCAGGAUGACGGCCUUCGGGUUGUAAACUGCUUUUGUCGGGGACGAGAGAGAACGGUACCCGGCGAAUAAGUCACGGCUAACUACGUGCCAGCAGCCGCGGUAACACAGAGGGUGCAAGCGUUGUUCGGAAUCACUGGGCGUAAAGGGCGCGUAGGCGGCCCGGUAAGUAGGGGGUGAAAUCUCAUGGCUCAACUGUGAGGCUGCCUUCUAGACUGCCAGGCUUGAGCACAGUAGAGGCGAGUGGAAUUCCCGGUGUAGCGGUGGAAUGCGUAGAGAUCGGGAAGAACAUCGGUGGCGAAGGCGGCUCGCUGGGCUGUUGCUGACGCUGAGGCGCGAAAGCGUGGGGAGCAAACAGGAUUAGAUACCCACGUAGUCCCUGAGCGGGCUGGCAAGGCGCAU
Molecule: ribosomal RNA, 448 nt
Filed under: uncultured bacterium
Lineage: Bacteria
Description: bacterial SSU rRNA
Rfam family: Bacterial small subunit ribosomal RNA
Source: RNAcentral